Molecule: ribosomal RNA, 468 nt
Filed under: uncultured bacterium
Lineage: Bacteria
Description: partial 16S ribosomal RNA
Rfam family: Bacterial small subunit ribosomal RNA
Source: RNAcentral
GACGAACGCUGGCGGCGUGCUUAACACAUGCAAGUCGAACGGAAAGGCCCUGCUUUUGUGGGGUGCUCGAGUGGCGAACGGGUGAGUAACACGUGAGUAACCUGCCCUUGACUUUGGGAUAACUUCAGGAAACUGGGGCUAAUACCGGAUAGGAGCUCCUGCUGCAUGGUGGGGGUUGGAAAGUUUCGGCGGUUGGGGAUGGACUCGCGGCUUAUCAGCUUGUUGGUGGGGGAGUGGCUUACCAAGGCUUUGACGGGUAGCCGGCCUGAGAGGGUGACCGGGCACAAUGGGACUGAGAGACGGCCCAGACUCCUACGGGAGGCAGCAGUGGGGAAUAUUGCACAAUGAGCGGAAGCCUGAUGCAGCAGCGCCGCGUGCGGGAUGACGGCCUUCGGGUUGUGAACCGCUUUCGCCUGUGACGAAGCGUGAGUGACGGUAAUGGGUAAAGAAGCACCGGCUAACUACGUG